UACUGAGUGGCAGACGGGUGAGUAACAUGUGGGAAUCUGCCUUAUGGUUCAGGACAACAUUGGGAAACCGAUGCUAAUACUGGAUAAGCCCUUACGGGGAAAGUUUUAAUGCCAUAAGAUGAGCCCGCAUUUGAUUAGUUAGUUGGUGAGGUAAUGGCUCACCAAGACAAUGAUCAAUAGCUGAUCUGAGAGGAUGAUCAGCCACACUGGGACUGAGACACGGCCCAGACUCCUACGGGAGGCAGCAGUGGGGAAUCUUGCACAAUGGAGGAAACUCUGAUGCAGCGAUGCCGCGUGAGUGAAGAAGGCCUUUGGGUUGUAAAGCUCUUUUGUAGGGGAAGAUAAUGACUGUACCCUAAGAAUAAGGUCCGGCUAACUUCGUGCCAGCAGCCGCGGUAAUACGAAGGGACCUAGCGUAGUUCGGAAUUACUGGGCGUAAAGCGCGCGUAGGCCGUUGAGUUAGUUAAUUGUGAAAUCC
RNAcentral lists this ribosomal RNA (478 nucleotides) under uncultured Alphaproteobacteria bacterium. RNAcentral describes it as "bacterial SSU rRNA". It matches the Rfam family "Bacterial small subunit ribosomal RNA", at positions 89 to 602 of the family's 1533-position model. Lineage: Bacteria; Pseudomonadati; Pseudomonadota; Alphaproteobacteria. The record is from RNAcentral.